This 389-nucleotide ribosomal RNA is filed under the name Sus scrofa (pig). Its description in RNAcentral is "partial 12S ribosomal RNA". It matches the Rfam family "Bacterial small subunit ribosomal RNA", at positions 794 to 1379 of the family's 1533-position model. The record is from RNAcentral. Lineage: Eukaryota; Metazoa; Chordata; Mammalia; Artiodactyla; Suidae.
GCCUAGCCCUAAACCCAAAUAGUUACAUAACAAAACUAUUCGCCAGAGUACUACUCGCAACUGCCUAAAACUCAAAGGACUUGGCGRUGCUUCACAUCCACCUAGAGGAGCCUGUUCUAUAAUCGAUAAACCCCGAUAGACCUUACCAACCCUUGCCAAUUCAGCCUAUAUACCGCCAUCUUCAGCAAACCCUAAAAAGGAACAAUAGUAAGCACAAWCAUAGCACAUAAAAACGUUAGGUCAAGGUGUAGCUUAUGGGUUGGAAAGAAGUGGGCUACAUUUUCUACAUAAGAAUAUCCACCACACGAAAGUUUUUAUGAAACUAAAAACCAAAGGAGGAUUUAGCAGUAAAUCAAGAAUAGAGUGCUUGAUUGAAUAAGGCCAUGAAG